This 492-nucleotide ribosomal RNA is filed under the name uncultured bacterium. RNAcentral describes it as "partial 16S ribosomal RNA". It matches the Rfam family "Bacterial small subunit ribosomal RNA", at positions 29 to 507 of the family's 1533-position model. The record is from RNAcentral.
AUUGAACGCUGGCGGCAUGCUUUACACAUGCAAGUCGAACGGUAACAGGCCUUCGGGUGCUGACGAGUGGCGAACGGGUGAGUAAUGCAUCGGAACGUACCCAGAGGUGGGGGAUAACGCAGCGAAAGCUGUGCUAAUACCGCAUGUGAUCUGAGGAUGAAAGCGGGGGACCGAGCAGCAAUGUUUGGCCUCGCGCCUUUGGAGCGGCCGAUGUCGGAUUAGCUAGUUGGUGGGGUAAAGGCCUACCAAGGCGACGAUCCGUAGCUGGUCUGAGAGGACGACCAGCCACACUGGGACUGAGACACGGCCCAGACUCCUACGGGAGGCAGCAGUGGGGAAUUUUGGACAAUGGGCGCAAGCCUGAUCCAGCAAUGCCGCGUGCGGGAAGAAGGCCUUCGGGUUGUAAAGCGCUUUUGGCAGGAACGAAGCGGUGUCCGCUAAUACCGGGCGCUAAUGACGGUACCUGCAGAAUAAGCACCGGCUAACUACGUG